CAGCACCUCAAGUGGUCAGGAUGAUUAUUGGGCCUAAAGCAUCCGUAGCCGGCGCUGUAAGUUUUCGGUUAAAUCUGUACGCUCAACGUACAGGCUGCCGGGAAUACUGCAGCGCUAGGGAGUGGGAGAGGUAGACGGUACUCGGUAGGAAGGGGUAAAAUCCUUUGAUCUAUUGAUGACCACCCGUGGCGAAGGCGGUCUACCAGAACACGUCCGACGGUGAGGGAUGAAAGCUGGGGGAGCAAACCGGAUUAGAGACCCGAGUAGUCC
Molecule: ribosomal RNA, 270 nt
Filed under: uncultured archaeon
Lineage: Archaea
Description: partial 16S ribosomal RNA
Rfam family: Archaeal small subunit ribosomal RNA
Source: RNAcentral